RNAcentral lists this ribosomal RNA (659 nucleotides) under uncultured archaeon. RNAcentral's name for it is "bacterial SSU rRNA". It matches the Rfam family "Archaeal small subunit ribosomal RNA", at positions 175 to 817 of the family's 1478-position model. The record is from RNAcentral.
AUGAGUCUUCGCUUAAAAGAGGCUGGGGUUAUGCUCUCCAGUUUCGCCCAAGGAUGGGGCCGCGACCGAUCAGGUUGUUGGUGAGGUAAUGGCUCACCAAGCCUUUUACCGGUGCGGGCCGUGGGAGCGGGAGCCCGGAGAUGGGCACUGAGACAAGGGCCCAGGCCCUACGGGGCGCAGCAGUCGCGAAAACUUUGCAAUAAGCGAAAGCUUGACAGGGCUAUCCCGAGUGCCAUCCGCUGAGGAAGGCUUUUACCCAGUCUAGAACGCUGGGGGAAUAAGGAGAGGGCAAGUCUGGUGUCAGCCGCCGCGGUAAUACCAGCUCUCCGAGUGGUGUGGAUGUUUAUUGGGCCUAAAGCAUCCGUAGCUGGCUAGGUUAGUCCCCUGUUAAAUCCACCGAAUUAAUCGUUGGAUUGCGGGGGAUACUACUUGGCUAGGGGACGAGAGAGGCAGACGGUAUUUCCGGGGUAGGGGUGAAAUCCUAUAAUCCCGGGAAGACCACCAGUGGCGAAGGCUGUCUGCUAGAACGCGCCCGACGGUGAGGGAUGAAAGCUGGGGGAGCGAACCGGAUUAGAUACCCGGGUAGUCCCAGCUGUAAACGAUGCAGACUAGGUGUUUGGACGGCCACGUGCCGUUCUAGUGCCGCAGGGAAGCUGUUA